RNAcentral lists this ribosomal RNA (253 nucleotides) under uncultured bacterium. RNAcentral's name for it is "partial 16S ribosomal RNA". It matches the Rfam family "Bacterial small subunit ribosomal RNA", at positions 524 to 776 of the family's 1533-position model. The record is from RNAcentral.
UACGUAGGGGGCAAGCGUUAUCCGGAUUUACUGGGUGUAAAGGGAGCGUAGACGGCUGUGCAAGCCAGAUGUGAAAGCCCGGGGCUCAACCCCGGGACUGCAUUUGGAACUGUGUAGCUGGAGUGUCGGAGAGGCAGGCGGAAUUCCUAGUGUAGCGGUGAAAUGCGUAGAUAUUAGGAGGAACACCAGUGGCGAAGGCGGCCUGCUGGACGAUGACUGACGUUGAGGCUCGAAAGCGUGGGAAGCAAACAGG